UUAAUUCUGCCUCUGAAUAUAAUAAAAACAGAAUGAUACAGAAAAGUUUGGCAUAGCCCCUGCUCAAGAACUAUAAAUAUUUUUUUCAAAUAUUCCAUAUUUGU
Molecule: small nuclear RNA, 104 nt
Organism: Antechinus flavipes (yellow-footed antechinus)
Lineage: Eukaryota; Metazoa; Chordata; Mammalia; Dasyuromorphia; Dasyuridae
Source: RefSeq, a predicted model, not a curated record